RNAcentral lists this ribosomal RNA (403 nucleotides) under Verrucomicrobiota bacterium. RNAcentral describes it as "Verrucomicrobia bacterium partial 16S ribosomal RNA". It matches the Rfam family "Bacterial small subunit ribosomal RNA", at positions 355 to 776 of the family's 1533-position model. Lineage: Bacteria; Pseudomonadati; Verrucomicrobiota. The record is from RNAcentral.
UGGGGAAUAUUGCACAAUGGGGGAAACCCUGAUGCAGCGACGCCGCGUGAGCGAUGAAGGCUUUCGAGUCGUAAAGCUCUGUCCUAUGGGAAGAAAAUGACAGUACCAUAGGAAUAAGGACCGGCUAAUUACGUGCCAGCAGCCGCGGUAAUACGUAAGGUCCGAGCGUUGUCCGGAAUCAUUGGGCGUAAAGGGUACGUAGGCGGGUAAGCAAGUUAGAAGUGAAAUCCUGUAGCUCAACUACAGUAAGCUUUUAAAACUGCUCAUCUUGAGAUAUGGAAGGGAAAGUGGAAUUCCUAGUGUAGCGGUGAAAUGCGCAGAUAUUAGGAGGAAUACCGGUGGCGAAGGCGACUUUCUGGCCAUAAUCUGACGCUGAGGUACGAAAGCGUGGGUAGCAAACAGG